Molecule: ribosomal RNA, 277 nt
Filed under: Idiomarina fontislapidosi
Lineage: Bacteria; Pseudomonadati; Pseudomonadota; Gammaproteobacteria; Alteromonadales; Idiomarinaceae
Description: partial 16S ribosomal RNA
Rfam family: Bacterial small subunit ribosomal RNA
Source: RNAcentral
ACCACUGGAAACGGUGGCUAAUACCGCAUAAUGUCUACGGACCAAAGUGGGGGACCUUCGGGCCUCACACCUAGAGAUGGGCCCAAGUGGGAUUAGCUAGUUGGUGAGGUAAAGGCUCACCAAGGCGACGAUCCCUAGCUGUUCUGAGAGGAUGAUCAGCCACACUGGGACUGAGACACGGCCCAGACUCCUACGGGAGGCAGCAGUGGGGAAUAUUGCACAAUGGGCGCAAGCCUGAUGCAGCCAUGCCGCGUGUGUGAAGAAGGCCUUCGGGUUG